CCUACGGGAGGCAGCAGUGAGGAAUAUUGGACAAUGGGCGCAAGCCUGAUCCAGCCAUGCCGCGUGCAGGAUGACGGUCCUAUGGAUUGUAAACUGCUUUUGUACAGGAAGAAACAGUUCUACGUGUAGAACCUUGACGGUACUGUAAGAAUAAGGAUCGGCUAACUCCGUGCCAGCAGCCGCGGUAAUACGGAGGAUCCAAGCGUUAUCCGGAAUCAUUGGGUUUAAAGGGUCCGUAGGCGGUUUAGUAAGUCAGUGGUGAAAGUCCAUCGCUCAACGGUGGAACGGCCAUUGAUACUGCUAAACUUGAAUUAUUAGGAAGUAACUAGAAUAUGUAGUGUAGCGGUGAAAUGCUUAGAGAUUACAUGGAAUACCAAUUGCGAAGGCAGGUUACUACUAAUUGAUUGACGCUGAUGGACGAAAGCGUGGGUAGCGAACAGGAUUAGAUACCCUGGUAGUCCACGCCGUAAACGAUGGAUACUAGCUGUUGGAAGCAAUUUCAGUGGCUAAGCGAAAGUGAUAAGUAUCCACCUGGGGAGUACGUUCGCAAGAUGAAACUUAAGGAAUUGACGG
Molecule: ribosomal RNA, 573 nt
Filed under: uncultured bacterium
Lineage: Bacteria
Description: bacterial SSU rRNA
Rfam family: Bacterial small subunit ribosomal RNA
Source: RNAcentral